GACAGUGUGGCGUAGUGGUUUGGGUGUUGGACUACAACUCUGGAGACCAGGGUUCGAAUCCUGCCUUGGUU
This 71-nucleotide transfer RNA is filed under the name Phrynosoma platyrhinos (Desert horned lizard). Its description in RNAcentral is "tRNA-OTHER". The record is from RNAcentral. Lineage: Eukaryota; Metazoa; Chordata; Lepidosauria; Squamata; Phrynosomatidae.